UCGUCUCCAACUGUGGCGAUUCUCGUGCCGUGCUUUGUCGAAACGGUGUCGCUAUUCCUCUCUCCUCUGAUCACAAGGUGAGGUUAAUCAUUUCCUUUAAAUUGAUCUCAUGCUUUUAGUUUUUCUUUGGAGUGAUUAUUUAUGAACCAGCUUACCAAAAAAGAUUAUUUAUGAACCAUGUUAAAGAACAAGUAGAAACGUUGUUUCCACUAAAAGAAUUAGGCGUGCGGAUGUGGGUCAAGGUUUGAGCUUUAGCUUUGUUGAUUGUUGAUAGCAAGGAACUUUUUAUGAAUCGGCGUGUGCCGAGCACAUUUUUAAUUCUUAGGACCUGAUUAUAAUAUUAUUGUUGAUCAUGAUG
This 358-nucleotide long non-coding RNA is filed under the name Populus tremula. RNAcentral describes it as "long non-coding RNA (PTRE_LNC002742)". Lineage: Eukaryota; Viridiplantae; Streptophyta; Magnoliopsida; Malpighiales; Salicaceae. The record is from RNAcentral.